CCUACGGGAGGCAGCAGUGGGGAAUAUUGGACAAUGGGCGAAAGCCUGAUCCAGCCAUGCCGCGUGUGUGAAGAAGGCCUUCGGGUUGUAAAGCACUUUCAGUGGGGAAGAAAGCCUUGGGGCUAAUACCCUCGGGGAAGGACAUCACCCACAGAAGAAGCACCGGCUAACUCCGUGCCAGCAGCCGCGGUAAUACGGAGGGUGCGAGCGUUAAUCGGAAUUACUGGGCGUAAAGCGCGCGUAGGCGGUCUGAUAAGCCGGUUGUGAAAGCCCCGGGCUCAACCUGGGAACGGCAUCCGGAACUGUCAGGCUAGAGUGCAGGAGAGGAAGGUAGAAUUCCCGGUGUAGCGGUGAAAUGCGUAGAGAUCGGGAGGAAUACCAGUGGCGAAGGCGGCCUUCUGGACUGACACUGACGCUGAGGUGCGAAAGCGUGGGUAGCAAACAGGAUUAGAUACCCUGGUAGUC
This 465-nucleotide ribosomal RNA is filed under the name Vreelandella stevensii. Its description in RNAcentral is "partial 16S ribosomal RNA". It matches the Rfam family "Bacterial small subunit ribosomal RNA", at positions 338 to 795 of the family's 1533-position model. Lineage: Bacteria; Pseudomonadati; Pseudomonadota; Gammaproteobacteria; Oceanospirillales; Halomonadaceae. The record is from RNAcentral.